GUGAGGAAUAUUGGUCAAUGGGCGAGAGCCUGAACCAGCCAAGUCGCGUGAAGGAAGAAGGAUCUAUGGUUCGUAAACUUCUUUUGCAGGGGAAUAAAGUGCGGGACGUGUCCUGUUUUGUAUGUACCCUGAGAAUAAGGAUCGGCUAACUCCGUGCCAGCAGCCGCGGUAAUACGGAGCAUCCGAGCGUUAUCCGGAUUUAUUGGGUUUAAAGGGUGCGUAGGUGGUUUGAUAAGUCAGCGGUGAAAGUUUGCAGCUUAACUGUAAAAAUGCCGUUGAAACUGUCGGACUUGAGUGUAAAUGAGGUAGGCGGAAUGCGUGGUGUAGCGGUGAAAUGCAUAGAUAUCACGCAGAACUCCGAUUGCGAAGGCAGCUUACUAAGCUACAACUGACACUGAAGCACGAAAGCGUGGGGAUCAAACAGGAUUAGAAACCCCGGUAGUCC
Molecule: ribosomal RNA, 445 nt
Filed under: uncultured bacterium
Lineage: Bacteria
Description: partial 16S ribosomal RNA
Rfam family: Bacterial small subunit ribosomal RNA
Source: RNAcentral